UGCCUGGGCGCGGGGUGCCGGUCGGGGCCGGCUGAGAUCACACCCGUGAACCUGAUCUAGUUCGUACUAGCGAAGGAACGUCCGGUGAGCAGUUU
This 95-nucleotide non-coding RNA is filed under the name Marinactinospora thermotolerans. RNAcentral describes it as "TPP sequence". It matches the Rfam family "TPP riboswitch aptamer (THI element)". From Rfam's summary of the family: Vitamin B(1) in its active form thiamin pyrophosphate (TPP) is an essential coenzyme that is synthesised by coupling of pyrimidine and thiazole moieties in bacteria. Lineage: Bacteria; Bacillati; Actinomycetota; Actinomycetes; Streptosporangiales; Nocardiopsidaceae. The record is from RNAcentral. RNAcentral also lists the same sequence under 1 other name.